GUAGGUGGCAAGCGUUGUCCGGAAUUAUUGGACGUAAAGCGCGCGCAGGCGGUCCUUUAAGUCUGAUGUGAAAGCCCACGGCUCAACCGUGGAGGGUCAUUGGAAACUGGGGGACUUGAGUACAGAAGAGGAAAGCGGAAUUCCAAGUGUAGCGGUGAAAUGCGUAGAGAUUUGGAGGAACACCAGUGGCGAAGGCGGCUUUCUGGUCUGUAACUGACGCUGAGGCGCGAAAGCGUGGGGAGCAAACAGGAUUAGAUACCCUGGUAGUCCACGCCGUAAACGAUGAGUGCUAAGUGUUAGGGGGUUUCCCGCCCCCUUAGUGCUGCAGCUAACGCAUUAAGCACUCCGCCUGGGGAGUACGGCCGCAAGGCUG
RNAcentral lists this ribosomal RNA (373 nucleotides) under uncultured organism. RNAcentral's name for it is "partial 16S ribosomal RNA". It matches the Rfam family "Bacterial small subunit ribosomal RNA", at positions 527 to 896 of the family's 1533-position model. The record is from RNAcentral.